RNAcentral lists this ribosomal RNA (460 nucleotides) under uncultured bacterium. RNAcentral's name for it is "partial 16S ribosomal RNA". It matches the Rfam family "Bacterial small subunit ribosomal RNA", at positions 338 to 795 of the family's 1533-position model. The record is from RNAcentral.
CCUACGGGUGGCAGCAGUGAGGAAUAUUGGUCAAUGGACGAGAGUCUGAACCAGCCAAGUAGCGUGAAGGAUGACUGCCCUAUGGGUUGUAAACUUCUUUUAUAUGGGAAUAAAAUGUUCCACGUGUGGGAUUUUGUAUGUACCAUAUGAAUAAGGAUCGGCUAACUCCGUGCCAGCAGCCGCGGUAAUACGGAGGAUCCGAGCGUUAUCCGGAUUUAUUGGGUUUAAAGGGAGCGUAGGUGGAUUGUUAAGUCAGUUGUGAAAGUUUGCGGCUCAACCGUAAAAUUGCAGUUGAUACUGGCAGUCUUGAGUACAGUUGAGGUAGGCGGAAUUCGUGGUGUAGCGGUGAAAUGCUUAGAUAUCACGAAGGACUCCGAUUGCGAAGGCAGUUCACUAGACUGCAACUGACACUGAGGCUCGAAAGUGUGGGUAUCAAACAGGAUUAGAUACCCUAGUAGUC